This 188-nucleotide ribosomal RNA is filed under the name Staphylococcus aureus. RNAcentral's name for it is "partial 16S ribosomal RNA". It matches the Rfam family "Bacterial small subunit ribosomal RNA", at positions 1 to 183 of the family's 1533-position model. Lineage: Bacteria; Bacillati; Bacillota; Bacilli; Caryophanales; Staphylococcaceae. The record is from RNAcentral. RNAcentral also lists the same sequence under 11 other names.
UUUAUGGAGAGUUUGAUCCUGGCUCAGGAUGAACGCUGGCGGCGUGCCUAAUACAUGCAAGUCGAGCGAACGGACGAGAAGCUUGCUUCUCUGAUGUUAGCGGCGGACGGGUGAGUAACACGUGGAUAACCUACCUAUAAGGCUGGGAUAACUUCGGGAAACCGGAGCUAAUACCGGAUAAUAUUUUG